RNAcentral lists this transfer RNA (66 nucleotides) under Tridacna gigas (giant clam). Its description in RNAcentral is "tRNA-Leu". Lineage: Eukaryota; Metazoa; Mollusca; Bivalvia; Cardiida; Cardiidae. The record is from RNAcentral.
UUGCACGUAGUAGAAGGAUAAUACGUUGGUUUUAGGUUCCGAAGGAAGGCAUUUGUCUCGUGCAAU